This 74-nucleotide transfer RNA is filed under the name Caudoviricetes sp. RNAcentral's name for it is "tRNA-Gly". It matches the Rfam family "tRNA". From Rfam's summary of the family: Transfer RNA (tRNA) molecules are approximately 80 nucleotides in length. Their secondary structure includes four short double-helical elements and three loops (D, anti-codon, and T loops). Lineage: Duplodnaviria; Heunggongvirae; Uroviricota; Caudoviricetes. The record is from RNAcentral.
GUCGCAUUAGUUUAAUGGUAAAAUGUUUCGUUGCCAGCGAAAAGUUGGGAGUUCGAUUCUCCUAUGUGGCUCCA